GGACUACCCGGGUAUCUAAUCCUGUUUGCUCCCCACGCUUUCGCGCCUCAGCGUCAGUCUCGGUCCAGAGAGCCGCCUUCGCCACCGGUGUUCUUCCCAAUAUCUACGAAUUUCACCUCUACACUGGGAAUUCCACUCUCCUCUCCCGAACUCCAGCCCCGCCGUUUCGCGCGCACCUCCCAGGUUGAGCCCGGGGCUUUCACACGCGACCAGCGGCGCCGCCUACGCGCCCUUUACGCCCAGUAAAUCCGAACAACGCUCGCCCCCUUCGUAUUACCGCGGCUGCUGGCAC
Molecule: ribosomal RNA, 292 nt
Filed under: uncultured Alphaproteobacteria bacterium
Lineage: Bacteria; Pseudomonadati; Pseudomonadota; Alphaproteobacteria
Description: partial 16S ribosomal RNA
Source: RNAcentral